Molecule: ribosomal RNA, 253 nt
Filed under: uncultured bacterium
Lineage: Bacteria
Description: partial 16S ribosomal RNA
Rfam family: Bacterial small subunit ribosomal RNA
Source: RNAcentral
GACAGAGGUCCCGAGCGUUAUGCGGAAUCACUGGGCUUAAAGCGUGUGUAGGCGGAUUUGUAAGUCCCUUGUGAAAUCCCACAGCUCAACUGUGGAACUGCUUGGUAUACUGCUUAUCUUGGGCCAUCUAGGGGCUAACGGAACAAGUGGUGGAGCGGUGAAAUGCGUAGAUAUCGGGAGGAACACCAGUGGCGAAGGCGGUUGCCUGGAGCUUUGCUGACGCUGAUGCGCGAAAGCGUGGGGAGCGAUCCGG